Molecule: small nucleolar RNA, 84 nt
Filed under: Propithecus coquereli (Coquerel's sifaka)
Lineage: Eukaryota; Metazoa; Chordata; Mammalia; Primates; Indriidae
Description: Small nucleolar RNA MBII-202 (ENSPCOG00000005701.1)
Rfam family: Small nucleolar RNA MBII-202
About the family: MBII-202 is a member of the C/D class of snoRNA which contain the C (UGAUGA) and D (CUGA) box motifs. Most of the members of the box C/D family function in directing site-specific 2'-O-methylation of substrate RNAs.
Source: Rfam by way of RNAcentral
UGAUCACAUUCUCCAAAAUUGCUGUACUGCUUUGACGAAAGUACAUUUGAACCCUUUUCCAUCUGAUAACUGAGCAUUUUAAAA